This is a long non-coding RNA of Micropterus salmoides (largemouth bass), 414 nucleotides long. RefSeq lists it as uncharacterized. The record is from RefSeq and is a predicted model, not a curated record. The transcript is spliced from 3 exons. NCBI's taxonomy places the organism in Eukaryota, Metazoa, Chordata, Actinopteri, Centrarchiformes, Centrarchidae.
AGGUUUGAAGAGAGCAUAGAUGAAGACCAAGACCACAGUGAGGAAGCAGGACACAGCCACUGCAGCUACCACCAGCCAUGUAAAUGUGGGGUCUGCGAAGGGAGAGGCAGAGCGCCCGCCCAUCAAGGUAUGAUGACUCCACUGAUUGGCCAUUGACCAGCCAAGUGACCACAGUGGAACCUGCUAUUUGACAUUCAGUAAGCACGUUGCAAAACAGCUCCAGUCCUGAACCUAAAUGAAGUCAGAGCUUGCUUGCUGAAGCGUGAUGCUGGUCCUGUAAACUAUUAUGCUGUUGUCGUCGUGAGAAAAGUCCUGCAGGGAUUUCAAAGUUACAUAGCGGUGAGCCUGGAGUGGCAAUGACUCGGAGACUUCAUUCACCUUAUGACAAGUCAGUGUACCAUCAAAAUGAUUUUG